GGUACUCCUGCCCAAGCCCAUGCCCAGGCCUACGUCCUUCCUCCAUCUCCCAGACCAGCUGCACAGUUGCUUCAGAGACAAAGUGUGGCUUGUUUCUCAAUGAGUGCCUGUGAGGAGUGAAGCCACAGCCAAGGCAAGAAGGUCUGCUCCUUUCCUGGCACGAGUUUUGGUGAGGACUGAACCUCCAGAGGGAGAGGACACCAGGCCAGCAAUAAAGGGCUGUUAAUUUUGAUGAUGACCUAAUCAAAGGAAAGAGACUGUCAUCAUGGAGUGGUGUGGCUCUUCACAGGUGGAAGGAUGGAGGAGUCAGAGGCACAGCACAACCUUCCCUGUGCCCACUGCACCCCUGUCAGUUCCUGAAGAAGUCCUGGGAAGAGGAUGCUGGAGAGCAAAGAAUGGGUCUGAGGACACCCAGAACUAAUAGUACAGGAAAUUUCCUG
Molecule: long non-coding RNA, 440 nt
Organism: Cyanistes caeruleus (blue tit)
Lineage: Eukaryota; Metazoa; Chordata; Aves; Passeriformes; Paridae
Source: RefSeq, a predicted model, not a curated record